RNAcentral lists this ribosomal RNA (554 nucleotides) under Stylocellus sp. Peninsula 17b. RNAcentral describes it as "eukaryotic LSU rRNA". It matches the Rfam family "Eukaryotic large subunit ribosomal RNA", at positions 642 to 1161 of the family's 3401-position model. The record is from RNAcentral. Lineage: Eukaryota; Metazoa; Arthropoda; Arachnida; Opiliones; Stylocellidae.
CCAUGACCCGUCUUGAAACACGGACCAAGGAGUCUAACAUGUGCGCGAGUCAUUGGGUCUUGCACAGGCCCAAAGGCACAAUGAAAGUGAAGGCCGACCCGGUCGGCUGCGUUGGGAUCCCGGGCGUUUUUUCGUCCGGGCGCACCAACGGCCCGUCCCGAUCGCCGCGUCGACGGGGCGGAGUGAGAGCGUACACGUUGGGACCCGAAAGAUGGUGAACUAUGCCUGGGCAGGACGAAGCCAGAGGAAACUCUGGUGGAGGUCCGCAGCGAUUCUGACGUGCAAAUCGAUCGUCAGACCUGGGUAUAGGGGCGAAAGACUAAUCGAACCAUCUAGUAGCUGGUUCCCUCCGAAGUUUCCCUCAGGAUAGCUGGCGCUCGGAGGAAGCAUUCUCAUCCGGUAAAGCGAAUGAUUAGAGGCCUUGGGGCCGAAACGACCUCAACCUAUUCUCAAACUUUAAAUGGGUGAGAAGUCCGGCUUGCUCGACUGAAGCCCGGACGCUAGGAUGCGAGUGCCCAGUGGGCCACUUUUGGUAAGCAGAACUGGCGCUGUGG